UUCCCCUCCCCCCACCCCCCCGCGCCGCCAAAAGAAGAACAACCUAGGGUUAGGGUUGUGGAGGCGGCGGCUGCUAAAUUCCAGAUCCGAUCGCCAUGCCCGGGCUGGAGGAGGAGAUGUUCGUAGCCACCAUAGUCGCGCGAGAGUCGAAGGAGGAGGCCGCCAUGGCCACCGAAGUCGCGCCAGAGCCAGAGGAGAAGACCGUCGUCUUCCCCGAUUGGGUGAUGCUGGAUCGCUUCGGCCGCACCCACAGCCAUGCCGACCUAGACGCUGCACGUGAGGCGGCCAAUAAGAAGAAGACCGCCGUUGAAGUCGUCACGGCCACCGGCCACCGCUGCUUCUUGUCCUUCGCCCUCUCGGAUCCUCCAGAGGUCUCUUACCUCGAUCUCGAGUGGCCGCGGGAAGGCUCAGUCGAACCCGUGGCCCCCUCCCGCCUGCCCGCGUAUCCCUACGUCCGGGCAACUGACGAGGACCUCGUCCUCUUCGAAAUCAACAUCCCAAGACAGCUCCACGACUUGCCGUCAGAUCUGUUCGUCUACACAGCUGGUCGUACCCCCUCGGUGGAUCAGCUCCCUCUGUACACUGAGCCCAUGGUAAGCCCGUUUCUGAUGUCAAAAUUCGACACAGGCAUCCUGCGCCUCCCGGACAACAGCUACAUCGUUUCCGACAUCAAGGUCUACCAUAAAGAGAAUGGCCCUGACAAUUAUUCCAUGUUUGUCGAGCUCUACGUCUUCAACUCCAAGACCAAAGAGUGGAAACGCUUCCCCGAGAUGCCUGCCCCCCAGCCGCAAGACGAGAGCAAUACCCAGUUCCCCAUCCUCUGGUCAACUGAGGAGGUGCUUGCUUUCGGCCACAGGUUCCUCUGCUGUGUCGACUACUUGAGCGGUGUCCUGCUAUGCGACUUCUCAAAUUUAGAGUCCCCGGUGCUCCACUUCGUGCCUUUCCCUGGAGGAGAUGGGUACUCUGAGAAGCUACAGAUCAUGCCUUUCCUUGGAGGAAAAGAGAACGCUAAGAAGGAACAGAUGGCAAAGUGCUUAGCGCAGAGAUUCCGACGUGUGUCCGUCAGCCAAGGCAUGAUGCACUUUGUCCGCAUUGAUGGCUGGCGUCCGCCUCUUGAGAGAAUCCAAGGGCAGCAGCAGCCUCUCCAAAAAAGAUCACAGUAUGGACUUUGGAUAUCGGGGAUGGUAGCAAGUUCAAGUGGAAGAUUCAUUGGGGGAUCAACCUGGAUCUUCUCUGGGCGCAAGAUGGUUUCCAUGCUCUGGACAUACCUCGCUGUCUUCCCCAGUUCCCAGUCGUCUGUGCGAACAAUCCGGACGCCCUAUGCUGCCUGUUGAGGAAAGAUGAACUUUCUCGACAGCCGUGGAUGAUCAUGGUUGACAUGAACCAGGAAGAUCUGCAGCCAUCUACUAAAUAUAUCAAUCAGCAGCCCUACAAUGUUGCGUGCGUGAAUGAGAAAAAACCCAUGGAAGCUCACCAAAUCUUCUUUUCUAAUGUGCCCCUACUUCCAACUGUCUUCUCCAAAUACCUUGUAAGGCCAACAGUGAUACCCCGGGACAACAAGCUCAAGCUCGCAGCUAGCUCUUCAGAGGAGAUUAUGCUCAUAACUGGAGAAAGCUUACGUUUGCAAUGUGAAUUCGAAGACCUGAAAACUGAUGACCCGGCUUGGAACCGUCUUCUGGUUGGUCACACAAAAGAUGGUAUUUGUCCUGAAUGUCAUGGGAAUGUCAUGGGAUGAGGAUGAUGGGAUGAGGAUGUGUACUACCUCUAUCCCAAAAUAAGUGUCUCAAGUUUAGUACUCCCUCCGUCCCAUAAUAUAGGAACGUUAUUGACAAUCUCAACUUUAGUAUAAAGUUGUACUCAGUGUCAAUAACGUUCCUAUAUUAUGGGACGGAGGGAGUACAAACUAACUAAAGUUGAGAUACUUAUUUUGGGACGGAGGGAGUAUUAAAUACCUACUGUCAGUAAGAGUAAACGAUACAUGUUCUGGAUCCUGUAAUCAUAUGUUUAAGACCCCGUAUCUCAAAAGUUUGAGAUUGAAAGCCUUCUCUUUUUAUUCUUUCUCGCAUAAUAAAUCAAGCGGGUUUUGCAGGCAA
This is an RNA transcript of Aegilops tauschii subsp. strangulata, 2093 nucleotides long. RefSeq lists it as uncharacterized. The record is from RefSeq and is a predicted model, not a curated record. Lineage: Eukaryota; Viridiplantae; Streptophyta; Magnoliopsida; Poales; Poaceae.